UGGGGAAUUUUGGACAAUGGGCGAAAGCCUGAUCCAGCAAUGCCGCGUGUGUGAAGAAGGCCUUCGGGUUGUAAAGCACUUUUGUCCGGAAAGAAAUCCUUGGCUCUAAUACAGUCGGGGGAUGACGGUACCGGAAGAAUAAGCACCGGCUAACUACGUGCCAGCAGCCGCGGUAAUACGUAGGGUGCAAGCGUUAAUCGGAAUUACUGGGCGUAAAGCGUGCGCAGGCGGUUUGCUAAGACCGAUGUGAAAUCCCCGGGCUCAACCUGGGAACUGCAUUGGUGACUGGCAGGCUAGAGUAUGGCAGAGGGGGGUAGAAUCCCACGUGUAGCAGUGAAAUGCGUAGAGAUGUGGAGGAAUACCGAUGGCGAAGGCAGCCCCCUGGGGCCAAUACUGACGCUCAUGCACGAAAAGCGUGGGGGAGCAAACAGGAUUAGAUACCCUGGUAGUCCACGCCCUAAAACGAUGUCAACUAGUUGUUGGGGAUUCAUUUCCUAGUAACGUAGCUAACGCGUGAAGUUGACCGCCUGGGGAGUACGGUCGCAAGAUUAAAACUCAAAUGAAUUGACGGGGUCAUAGCUGUUUCCU
RNAcentral lists this ribosomal RNA (588 nucleotides) under uncultured bacterium. RNAcentral describes it as "partial 16S ribosomal RNA". It matches the Rfam family "Bacterial small subunit ribosomal RNA", at positions 355 to 1375 of the family's 1533-position model. The record is from RNAcentral.